Molecule: long non-coding RNA, 306 nt
Organism: Melospiza melodia melodia
Lineage: Eukaryota; Metazoa; Chordata; Aves; Passeriformes; Passerellidae
Exons: 3
Source: RefSeq, a predicted model, not a curated record
UAUACCACUCUUCUUGGUGUAAAACUGGAAUAUUUUGAAUUCUUAUGGUAAUUUUUCUUGCCUGCUAACCUGAAACUUUAUUUUUACUCUCUAUGUUGGCCUAAACACUACUGCAGACCCUUACAAUGAACCUCUUAAGCUAAGACUGGUGCCAGCCCGUGAAACAUCUUUCAGGAGAGGUGCUCCAGCUCAAUUGCACAAACACCAGUGCUGUCAAAGUUAUACAGCUUUUUAUGCUUUCUCUUCUGUGGAGGCAUGAAAGACAGCUCUCAACCAAGCAUUUUUGUUAGCAAGGGUUUCAAAACG